AAAAAAGGGAAUUCCAAUAUAUGUUUUCUGCUUUAUGUGCGCAUCCUCUACCUAUUAAGUGUUAAUUAAAUUAAAGGGUUUCUUUUUAAAAUCUUCUAUAACUAAUAAAAAAAUAUGGAAGAUUUUGUUACUUUGAGUAAAUUAGAGUGUUCAAAGCAAACAGAUAUAUAGCAUUUGUGCGUUUGAAUACUACAGCAUGGAAUAACAAAAUUGAACAGGUCAAAACUAUGUUUCUUUUUUUUUAUUUUUGGCUUAGUUACGAUUAAUAGGAGUAGUUUGGGGACAUUUGUAUUCAGAUGUCAGAGGUGAAAUUCUAAGAUUUUCUGGAGACAAACAACUGCGAAGGCAUUUGUCUAAAAUACUUCCAUUAAUCAAGAACGAAAGUUAAGGGAGUGAAGACGAUCAGAUACCGUCGUAAUCUUAACCAUAAACUAUACCGACUAGGUUUUGGAUGAAAGUAAAACAAAUAAGGAUAGUCUCUUCGGGGAUAGUUCUUAGAUUUCUUCCUUCAGUACCUUAUGAGAAAUCAAAGUCUUUGGGUUCUGGGGCGAGUAUUCGCGCAAGCGAGAAAGUUAAAAGAAUUGACGGAAGGGCACCACCAGGCGUGGAGCUUGCGGCUUAAUUUGACUCAACACGGGAAAACUCACUAGUUUAAGACAAGAGUAGGAUUGACAGAUUAAUAGCUCUUUCUUGAUUUCUUGGAUGGUGAUGCAUGGCCGUUUUUAGUUCGUGAAUAUGAUUUGUCUGGUUAAUUCCGAUAACGAACGAGAUCUUAACCUGCUAAUUAGCAGUAAGUACAACAUAUUUCUAUGCUGAAUUUGUAUUUGGAUAAUUUAAAAGGUUUUUUUGCCGUGCAUAUAAUGAGUACGGAAAAAAUGCAUACUGCUACCUUGUACCUAAUAAUACUUGGCGCCUAUGCAUAUUUCCAACCCUCUAUUCCCUGUACCGCAUAAAACUGGAUUAUGAUGCCAUUUCACUUUUAUGUAGAAAUGUAUU
Molecule: ribosomal RNA, 996 nt
Filed under: Plasmodium knowlesi
Lineage: Eukaryota; Apicomplexa; Aconoidasida; Haemosporida; Plasmodiidae
Description: SSU rRNA
Rfam family: Eukaryotic small subunit ribosomal RNA
Source: RNAcentral